Brassica napus (rape) is the source of this 1872-nucleotide long non-coding RNA. RefSeq lists it as uncharacterized. Lineage: Eukaryota; Viridiplantae; Streptophyta; Magnoliopsida; Brassicales; Brassicaceae. The transcript is spliced from 2 exons. The record is from RefSeq and is a predicted model, not a curated record.
CCUAGUGCUUUUUUUUUUUUUUUUAAGAAAUUAAAUGGAUGAUCGUAACAUAUUGCCAAUCCUACAAAGUUAAACCAUACCAUCAUUGGUUUUAACUAAACCGAUUCUAACCAUUUAAACCAAAUAAUUGCAUAACAAAUUAAACGUUAUUGCAAAUAUAUAUAAUACCUUGCAUUCUAAUAUAAAAUAUUAAAAUAAUCGAAAACAACUUAAAAUUUAGAUUUGAUUUGGUUUAUUCUUAACAAUUUUAACUCUAAAAGAUUUUCAGGUAAUAUCAAGUUUUCAUUAAUUAAAACUAUAUACCCUACUCUUAAUAAACAAAACAAAUAAACCGCAAAUACAUGAAAAAUCUAUAUUUCAACACCAAAUAAAGAGAAAUGGCCUUAGAUAACCAUACAUCAACUUUUUCUUCUCAUUUUAGAUCUCAAGGCCCAAAAUCACAAAAAUAUUUUAUUUAAUAUGGAUAUUUACCAUUUUACCCUUUUCUUUUUUAAUUACAUAAUACAUUUUUUUUUUGAAACUUACAAACACGACGGCUCCGCCGUUUCUCAUCUCUGCCAUCAUCAUCUUCGGCAUUGCUCAUCUUCAGCGUCGCUAAUCUCCGUUGUCAUUAUCUCUAUUGUCAUUAUCUGCGUACUUUCCCUCAGCCCCAAUCGUUGCGCCGUUAUAGGUUUUUACGUUGUUUUUAUCAAAGGUAUUUCGUAGGCACGACAAAACUGAUAUCGCCAUCUACGAUGAUGUCGUCUCCAAGGUCUUUUCAUUUAUUUGCUGCUGCUAAAUCUAAAUAUGUGAUUUCUCUAUUCUCAAAUCACUCAUAUGUAGGGUUUCUUCUCACUAAUAUUGUAAUCUGUCUAAAUUGAUUGUGGAACAUCAUCAUAUUGUUUCUUGCAUUGUAUUGAAUCUCAAUGGUCAAAACUCAGAAAUUCUGGAUCAUGGAUUCAUUUAUGAUGUUUAAUGAGGAGAAUUGUGUAUUACUUCAUCUUGACACUGUCAUUGCAUCUCUGUUUUUUCUGGAAUAAUUAAAUCAAUCUAUGAUUCAGUCAUUGUUAGUUUUUUUUUAUGGCUACUUCAUCUUGAGAUUAUAUUGGAUCCUCAAUCACAUAUAAGGAUUGGUGCCUAAGCUGUGUGAAAUUGGUUGCGGGCUUGAUGCUUAAAAUGCAAUCGUCUAAUUCAGUUUAAGUGUUUAUGGUUCACACUGUAGGACUCUUAAAAUAUUUAAAAUGUUUUUGCAUUUUAUUUGUCGAUAGAAGAUUUUAACAACAUGUAUUGUUUGCUUGGUUUUUUACAAUUUUUCAAUCACGCCAUGGGAAAGCUUACCUCUUUAGGUGUAAAUCAAUCUACUUUCAAGUUUUAUUUGGGCUUUAGUCAUCCUCCUCAUUGAACAUUGCCUUAUUUUGUGGUUAAAGCUCGAUAGGACUAGUUAUUUGCUAGUAGUCCUUUGGGUUUUGUGUGGACAGAGCCAAUGUGUAUGCUGAGAAGAAAGAAGAUAGAAUGAUGAUGACUGGACUGCACACUGUUGCCGAUAUUUACUUCGUUAAAUGCGGCUCUUAUGUUGGAUGGAGAUAUAAGUUUGAUUUUGAGAAGAACCAACAGUACAAGGAAGGAAAAUCGAUUCAUGAAAGGUAAGUAAAUGACUAAUCCCAAUCCCUGGUUUUAUCUUGUUUUGUUUUGACAAAGUGUUUUCUGAGUUGAGAUGUGAAUGUGUUUCAUAUUCUUGACAGGUACAAGAUUUGAUGCCCAAAUGGGAACAACUACUGGAUAGCUAAUGACAUUUUUUUAUAGUCAAUGACAUGUGUUUGUUUAUAGCUAAUUACAUUUGUUCGUUUGUAGAUCAAUGUUCUCUACUUGUAGAAAAUGAACUCUAUUUAGUGA